UCCCUGGUGGUCUAGGAGGUUAAGACUCUGCACUUUCACUGCACGGGAUGUGGGUUCAAAUCCUGGUUGGGGAA
Molecule: transfer RNA, 74 nt
Filed under: Ovis aries (sheep)
Lineage: Eukaryota; Metazoa; Chordata; Mammalia; Artiodactyla; Bovidae
Rfam family: tRNA
About the family: Transfer RNA (tRNA) molecules are approximately 80 nucleotides in length. Their secondary structure includes four short double-helical elements and three loops (D, anti-codon, and T loops).
Source: Rfam by way of RNAcentral